GAGUUUGAUCAUGGCUCAGAUUGAACGCUGGCGGAAUGCUUUACACAUGCAAGUCGAGCGGCAGCGCGGGGCAACCUGGCGGCGAGCGGCGAACGGGUGAGUAAUGCAUCGGAACAUGUCCAUGUCGUGGGGGAUAGCCCGGCGAAAGCCGGAUUAAUACCGCAUACGCCCGAGAGGGGAAAGUGGGGGACCGCAAGGCCUCACGCGAUUGGGUUGGCCGAUGUCCGAUUAGCUAGUUGGCGGGGUAAGAGCCCACCAAGGCGAUGAUCGGUAGCUGGUCUGAGAGGAUGAUCAGCCACACUGGGACUGAGACACGGCCCAGACUCCUACGGGAGGCAGCAGUGGGGAACUUUGGACAAUGGGGGAAACCCUGAUCCAGCCAUUCCGCGUGAGUGAAGAAGGCC
Molecule: ribosomal RNA, 404 nt
Filed under: uncultured beta proteobacterium
Lineage: Bacteria; Pseudomonadati; Pseudomonadota; Betaproteobacteria
Description: bacterial SSU rRNA
Rfam family: Bacterial small subunit ribosomal RNA
Source: RNAcentral